This 297-nucleotide long non-coding RNA is filed under the name Panax ginseng (ginseng). Its description in RNAcentral is "long non-coding RNA (PGIN_LNC007164)". Lineage: Eukaryota; Viridiplantae; Streptophyta; Magnoliopsida; Apiales; Araliaceae. The record is from RNAcentral.
CGGCAUCAUCAUCUUGUUGUUGUGCUGCAUUGCCACUGUAUAAGCUAACUCCUCAGGACUCAGAGACUGCAAAUGCCGCUAAGCAUAAGAAGAAGAUUACGAUCUUGAUAGUCGGUCGUCGUCGAUAAAGUUUGUCGCCAAUACUCCUUGAGAAGUGUAAGCUAGUUGUGGCCCACCUCUCCAUAAAAUCAAGAAACAUCCUCGAUUUUAUAGUCUUAUGCAUUUCAGUUGUUACUCCUAUUUUUUGCAAAAUCAACUACAAUAGAGUGAAGGGUUGCCAACAGAAGACUUUUUUAC